CUAGUCGCUUCGGUAAGCACAACCCACCUCAUUUCGCAUUCCGAUUGCUUGUCGACACUUGCAAUCGGCCUCCCGCGGCACCCGGCACCCGGUUUGGCCCGAUCUCUCACGCGACCACCCGAACGGCCUCCAAUUCACGAUCCGAAAAUUAAAGGUCUUCGGUUAUGUGCCACGAUGCUUCAAAUCCAUUUUCAUGAAUUUACGAUAUCGCCUCGGCCCUCCCGGCGGACCCGAAGCCUAAACGUCCAUUUCUUUAAUAACUUUGUAACGGCUCGUCGGAUUGCCGAACCGUCUUCGCCAACGCGUUCGUUUACCUAGCAAUUUGGUUUACGGAGGGUCAAAUGAGAUCAAACCCUCAUAUUUUAAAAAACCCCAUUUUCUAAGCCUAAUAUGAAUUAAUCUCCAAAUAAUCCAAAUUAAAUAGAGCAAACAUGUUUAGAAUGCUCAUUAGAGGCUAUUAGAACACUUAAAACUAAGGAUUAAGCCAAAUCCUAAAAGCUUACCUCAAUGUGAACGCCGCGACGACAACACACCGCUCCAACGGGCGCACGAAAGCUCAAUCCGUCGCCUCCAACGCGUUCGCAAGCAUAUUCUCCACCAACCCCGCGAAUUUGAGCGAGAGAUAUAGAGAAAUGAGAGAGAUCUCUAGAGAGAGAAAGGAGAGUUUCUCUCCUCUCUCCAUGUGUGCGUGAGGUGUGUGUGGGUGUGCACGGCUGAAGGAGGAAGAAGAAGCAUCAUGCUUCUAUUUAAUUACACCCCAACACUAUUCACCUCCAGGCAGCUUAAAAUCUGAUAACUUUCGCCGGAGCUCCCUGAAUGUCCGUUUGAGCUCAAACUUGACAGUCAUGUUCGGUUUUACUUAACUUAACAAGCUGACGAUCACUGGUUCAGUUUCGACCCCGUUUGGUCACUGAAAACUGUACCGAACUGCAAUCUUUAUCAGAUAGCUUUCGGAUUUUAUUUCUCACUCUAUGGGUGUCAGAAAAAUAUGAAACCUUAAAUCUAGCCUCAUAAAAAUAUUUCUGACAUCUCCGCCAAUUUUCAUAAUUUUCUGAGACUGUGCAUUUUCUGCUUAUUUUUCUGUCCCGUCUCCAACAGAAAAUUCUAGAUCUUCUGUUUUAAUUCCGAUUUCAGCACAAGUCACCUCUGACUUAUGUUUUACCUCUAUAAAUCUAAUAAAAAUAGUUUCUCACACUAUUUUUAUUUAUUAUUAUUUUUAUACCAAAAUCUGGUAUAUUACAUUCUCCACCCCUUAAAAAGAAUUUCGUCCGCGAAAUUCAAAACACACCUCAAUUCAGCUCCUCGAGCAAUUGAGGGCACCAAUGCACUUUUUCACUUCGGAAUGGCUUUACACUCCUUGGAACUAUCCAAGAGAACUAUCACGGAGGGUACAAUACCAAACUCAUACAACUUUGUAAGGUGCAUCCCACAAAGUGCAUUACGGUAUCCACCAUUCUUGGUGGAAGCGCAAGUCGAAAUUCAACGACUACACACGCUCCAACCCCACUUGUCAUUUGGCAUGCAAGAACUCUUCUUUGCAUGUACUCUCCCUUCAGGGAAUACAUUCCGAUUCUAUCUCCAACAGUGCUUAAAAGCAACAUCACUGAUGCAUCGCUUCCGCGCGAGUGCUCUAAUUCCGCACUGAUCUUUAGCUCUAACAUGAGAUGGCCCACCUCGGCGCCUCCCAAUUCCAAUCCUCAAAUUCCACGUGGCUUGCUACUAGCUCAAGGUCUCACAAGGAGCACUUCAUCUUCUAAUACCAUAUGCCACGGUCAACAUUGAACUAAUUUCGCAACGAGCUCACACGAACGCUUCAUUCGUGGAUUCGAGUUAGACUCCUCGAUAAGGCUAUCCGCCAAACCGCUCUCUUCGGUCUCCACAGGUGGACCAAAGGCCACCAAUCCUACGUAGGCCUACCGCCUAACCUUUCUCAAUACGCAGCGUCUCUCGCUCGCAAUGCAGACCCAAUCAUCAUUGGGGCGAAAUUCUCACUUGGGAAUUCGCACACACUCCAACCAGGAGCAACUAAGAUCCCAAACCGUUACAGAUUCCCGGGUUGGGUCACACUCGCACUCUCAGUAUACUAUCAAUCGCACUACAUGCUCUAUAGCACAAUACGUACCACUAUCGGCUCCUAUGCACCUAGUGCGAGCCACCAGCCCCACGAGUGAUCCGUGGCACGCUUCACACCUAGCAAUGCUCAGGUGCUACUGCCAACACACUCAUCCGGCUAAACUAAAUCCGCACUCCACGAGUAACUAUACUCGUGUAUCGCACGCCUCUAAAGCGCUCCACACUAUGUCCAGCAUUAGGCAACUCUUGCCUAUGCACACCGGCCACACGAGCAUGGCUCACCUACCUCGAUUCGAGGUACUACUAGGCAAAAGCGCCAGUAGUUGGCAACAAACCGUUCCAUCGGAGCAACAUCCGGAAUACUCGAACCAUUCGAGUGUCCACAAGUGUCACGUCACAACUCUCGCAAUCAGCUAUACAUUGCUCUGCGAGUUAGUCCGUCACUCCCAUCUCUACUGUGAAUCUCAUCAUUAGACCAUCACUAGCAACUCGCUAGUGCCAUCCAGUUCUCUACCUGCACCGGCAGGUGCAACGCUUUCACCACAUAAGCGUGCCCGGGUAUUUACAUUUAUCCGCUCACUUGGACCCUACUAUGCUACUACAUAAAUAGUAGUAAUUAAUUACAUGCUCAAUGCAUGCAAUGCACCAACUUUACAUUAUGCAGAAACACAUAACUGCAUUAAUGGCUCAUACCUGCCAUGACGUUGUCAGCAGCAGGUUCCAUAUCCCGGACAUAGUUCACGAUAGGGAGAAUUCCCGUUCGUACUCUCUAACUGAGCGGUCUCCUUGCCGCAGCUUCCUGAACUUGUCCUGAAGCUUUCUCUUUUCACUGUCGGGGGAAGUAAGUAGAAGAUACCAAUCCCCAAAACUCAUCCCAUGCCAUGGAGGAAUACUAGGCGAUCGGUUCCGCCGAAUGCCUUUCCACCACGCCUUAGCCGACUGUUUCAAACAAUACACGGCUAGGGGUACCCUGUCCCGCUCCAAGGUAGACAGCUCCUCGAAGAGCGUUUCCACGGAGUCAAUCCACGUAUCCACAAUCCACGAAUCGACAUUCUCUCCAUCGAAGAUAGGUGGAUCAAACUUUAUGAAGGUCAUGAGGGCUGCCAAAGCCCGCUCUUUCUCCUUCUUUUCCUUUCCUUUCUUCCUCCUCUUCUUGUCUUCUAGAGAGAGAAAGAGAGAUAUGAGAGGGUGUGUGGGUGAGAAAUGAGAGAAAAGAGCUCUCAUACUCCUCACAUAGCCCCACAUGUUGCAUAAGUGCAAACAAGCCUCUCAACUUUUACUCUUUUACACUGCCCUGACUGGGCCAUUUUCAGGUUCGGGGACCGGUCUCCCCGACGAGGGACCGGUCUCCGAGAGCUCUCCCCGCGGUCAGCAGGGCUCACGCACGAUGCAUCCGGUCUCCCCCGAUGGGACCGGUCUCUUCGGGACCGGUCUCUCCCUGCAGGGACCGGUUCCCGAGAGCUGUCCACCGGGGACUUAGCCGAUUUUUCCUCCCUUUCGCUGUCUGCGCGUGCGGGGACCGGUCUCUCCCACCAGGGACCGGUCCCCGAGAGCAGAAAACCUGCAGUUUGCAGAUUUUGAUUCCCAAAGCUCUCGAAGAUCCCCAGCAACGCACUUUUGCAUUAUUUGACGCCUUCGGCCUUUCCGAAGUGUACCAACCUCGCUCUUUGGUCAAUUUGACCAAGGUUCGAUGUUCGCUUACCGAAGUUUCGGUAUAUUACACCUACAAUUUUUUUUCGGAGUCUCUUAAUUCGCUCCUCCUGGUGUAUAGCAGCCUCCUGCUGCCGCUGCACCACAUCUGCUCGUUGCCUCACCACACCCACAAGUGUGGCCAACCGUUCGCGAAGUUCCAAAUCUCCGCUCGCCUUGGAUUGCUCUGGGACAUCACUUGUCCCACCCCGCGUCGAUCUAAACGAAGAUCGCCUACGCGGUGCCAUCGUUACCUAGAACAUAACAACUCAACUAACUCUCAACCUUCUAGGUCGAGUACGAGACAACUGACAUCAACUCAAAUCGGGCGAAAGUCAUACAAGGGCAUCUAUUCUCAUCACUCGGUUUCAUGUUGUACGCGUCCAACAUGAACACUCUCGGUUGAGAAUAGACAACACCUUGGAUCUACCUCUAAUCUCCUUUUUAGAGGUUUACAACACAACCCAAUCCCUUAACCUUUCGCCAAAAGUCACAAGUCCUCGUCUCUCACGAGCCUUAAUCUCCUAUGGUUUACUAUCCUAGGGUCUCCUAGGUUCAUCUAAACCACUUUCCCAUUCUCUACUUUAUGCUCUGAUACCAUCUUACCUGUCACGCCCCGAGCCCGCCUCUUUGGUCGGAUUCGGGCACGCCAACAGACCGCCGAACGGACAGGGUUUCCCCUGCACGCGGACAGAGUCUCCCCUGUACGUUCAAGGCGUCGCAAUCAAUACAAUUACAAGAGGUUCCAAACAGGAACAAUUUUCAACAACGAUUGCAUAAGGAAGGUAUCAAACAACAUAACACAUCCUAUGUUAUUACAAUCAUUCAUCUCAUCAUUUUACAUCGCAUUUUUCAUUACAUUGAUUCUCAACUUCCAAAUAUACAAUCGAUUUCUAAACAUAAUAUUACAACAUCGAUUCUUUUCUUUUCUUUUCUUAUACCCCUAAGAAGCCGACUCAGGGUGCUGCUAUCUGGUCUCUGUGGUAGGGCGCUAACUACGGAGCUACGCCCUUUCCUCGCGCCGCCGCGCCGCUCGCGUGUGAACCUGUACCCCCAAAAACAACAACACGGGGGUGAGACUAUUGUCCAUAGUCGUCAGUGGGUACAGCCACCCAAGUGAAAAGCUCAACCCACCAGGUCCAAAGGAGGCACUGCAACAUGUUAGUCCAACAGAUAUAUAUAUAUAUAACAUCAUGCAAUACAUGUUCAUGCCUCACAAAUAUGCAAAUUAUGCAACUCUUAGUCAUUCUUUACCAUUAGCCUUUCUUUAGAAUAUGCAAUUCUUUAUCAUUAGCCAUUCUUUAUUCUUUAAUCUUUAUUCUUUAUUCUUUAUUCUUUAUGCUUUAUUCUUUAUGCUUUAUUCUUUGUUCUUUAUCCUUUACUAAGGGCACUCGCGCCUUAGGCUCAUCAUACACAUUUGCCAUUCUUUAUAACAUUAACAAGUCUUUCUCAAUUAUCACUCUUUCCUAAGGUUACAUUUACCUUAGCCAACUAUGCCACUCGACUCGGUCUUGAGUCAAUUCAUAAUGAAUACAAGAUCCACUUUCCAAUUCAUGAUUCCUUUUUGUUCUUUGUUCUUUAAUCUCACGGCUAACCCGGGGGUUUCGCCACAUUAACUUGCUUCACAUUAAGUCCAUCAUCGCAGGAACUCACCAGCUAGGACCGUCCUUACGGGUCUACUCCAACCCGGAUGCCAAACUCCGGAGCGCAUCGCCCGAGGGGGAGCGACCGCCCUCGAGCACGGAACUCAUAGCAAGUAUGAUCAAUCCUUAACUCUAAGGAUAUGUAGUUGGAUCAUGGUUUUACACUAACUCUAGUGUUCUUUACAUCACAUUAGUUGCUAACUCUAGCAAUCAUUAUUCUUUAUACCACAAUUAUCAAUUACUUUAGUAAUUAUCAUUCUUGAUACCACACUUGUUCUUUUAUUGCCACACACUAACUCUAGUGUUCUUUAUGUCACAUUGGUUGCUAACUUUAGCCAUUAUCAUUGUUCUUUACACUUUGCUUGUUCUUUAUGCCACAUUACUUUACAUCGCCUCUAGCCAUUAUCAUUAUUCUUUACAUCACAUUGCUUUGCCUUGUCUCAAGCCAUUAUCAUUAGGUUCUCACAUUACAUCUCAUGCAUACACAUAGAUUAUUUAGAUUCUUAAUCAUUCUAAUAAGCACGUGUACUCACAUCAUGCAACAUUACAUUAUUAUCAUCACAUUGUUUUACAUUAUCUUUAGCCAUUAUCAUUGUUCUUUACAUCACAUUUAUUCUUUGAUGUCCCACACUAACUCUAGUGUCCACUUUACCAUUUCGAAUGCCACUCGAUCUAUGUUCAACAUGCAUAUAUUUUGUCAUCCAUUGGUAGUCAUUACUUAGCAUUUUAUGCAUUCGUUAACAUUUACUACAUGCAUUCUCGGUUAGUACAAAUCUCAUACUUUCAUUUGACAUCUAUUUAGCAUUUCUAUAAUAUGCACAUAUAAAUUAACAUCAACUCAUGCAUUCAUUUGGCAUCUAUCUUUAUCAUGCAUUCUUAAUUAGCAUACUUUAUCAUGCAUUCUCAAAUAGCAUACUUUAAUCUUUAUCAUGCAUUCUUAAAUAGCAUACUUUAUCAUGCGUCAAUAGUAAACAUACUACACUUUAGCAUGGAAAGCGACCUAAUCGCUUCGGUGAGCACAACCCACCUCAUUUCGCAUUCCGAUUGCUUGUCGACACUUGCAAUCGGCCUCCCGCGGCACCCGUAACCCGGUUUGGCCCGAUCUCUCACGCGACCACCCGAACGGCCUCCAAUUCACGAUCCGAAAAUUAAAGGUCUUCGGUUAUGUGCCACGAAGCUUCAAAUCCAUUUUCAUGAAUUUACGAUAUCGCCUCGGCCCUCCCGGCGGACCCGAAGCCUAAACGUCCGUUUCUUUAAUAACUUCGCAACGGCUCGUCGGAUUGCCGAACCGUCUUCGCCAACGCGUUCGUUUACCUAGCAAUUAGGUUUAUAUAGGGUCAAUUUAGAUCAAACCCUUACAUUUUACAAAACCCCAUUCGGAGCCCUAAUAUGCUAUUAACCUCAAAAUAAUCCAAAAUUAAAUGGAUCAACAUGCUAACAAAGCUCAUUAGAGGCUAUUAGAAUACUUAAAGCUAAGGAUUAAGCCAAAUCCUAAAAGCUUACCUCAAUGUGAACGCCGCGACGACAACACACCGCUCCAACGGGCGCACGAAAGCUCAAUCCGUCGCCUCCAACGCGUUCGCAAGCAUAUUCUCCACCAACCCCGCGAAUUUGAGCGAGAGAUAUAGAGAAAUGAGAGAGAUCUCUAGAGAGAGAAAGGAGAGUUUCUCUCCUCUCUCCAUGUGUGCGUGAGGUGUGUGUGGGUGUGCACGGCUGAAGGAGGAAGAAGAAGCAUCAUGCUUCUAUUUAAUUACACCCCAACACUAUUCACCUCCAGGCAGCUUAAAAUCUGAUAACUUUCGCCGGAGCUCCCUGAAUCUCCGUUUGAGCUCAAACUUGACAGUCAUGUUCGGUUUUACUUAACUUAACAAGCUGACGAUCACUGGUUCAGUUUCGACCCCGUUUGGUCACUGAAAACUGUACCGAACUGCAAUCUUUAUCAGAUAGCUUUCGGAUUUUAUUUCUCACUCUAUGGGUGUCAGAAAAAUAUGAAACCUUAAAUCUAGCCUCAUAAAAAUAUUUCUGACAUCUCCG
Molecule: long non-coding RNA, 7439 nt
Filed under: Ananas comosus (pineapple)
Lineage: Eukaryota; Viridiplantae; Streptophyta; Magnoliopsida; Poales; Bromeliaceae
Description: long non-coding RNA (ACOM_LNC015007)
Source: RNAcentral